RNAcentral lists this ribosomal RNA (427 nucleotides) under uncultured bacterium. RNAcentral describes it as "bacterial SSU rRNA". It matches the Rfam family "Bacterial small subunit ribosomal RNA", at positions 354 to 796 of the family's 1533-position model. The record is from RNAcentral.
GCAAGGAAUCUUCCGCAAUGGGCGAAAGCCUGACGGAGCAACGCCGCGUGGGGGAAGACGCUUUUCGGAGUGUAAACCCCUUUUCUUGGGGACGAAAGACUGACGGUACCCGAGGAAGAAGGACCGGCUAACUACGUGCCAGCAGCCGCGGUAAUACGUAGGGUCCGAGCGUUGUCCGGAGUUACUGGGCGUAAAGCGCGCGCAGGCGGCUUCAUAAGACUGGCGUGAAAGCCUCCGGCUCAACCGGAGAGGGUCGUCGGUGACUGUGGGGCUUGAGAGUGGCAGGGGCUGGUGGAAUGCCUGGUGUAGUGGUGAAAUGCGUAGAGAUCAGGCGGAACACCCGUGGCGAAGGCGGCCAGCUGGGCCAUAUCUGACGCUGAGGCGCGAAGGCGUGGGGAGCGAACGGGAUUAGAAACCCUAGUAGUCC